This 528-nucleotide ribosomal RNA is filed under the name uncultured Aciditerrimonas sp. Its description in RNAcentral is "bacterial SSU rRNA". It matches the Rfam family "Bacterial small subunit ribosomal RNA", at positions 355 to 897 of the family's 1533-position model. Lineage: Bacteria; Bacillati; Actinomycetota; Acidimicrobiia; Acidimicrobiales; Acidimicrobiaceae. The record is from RNAcentral.
UGGGGAAUCUUGCGCAAUGGGCGAAAGCCUGACGCAGCAACGCCGCGUGCGGGACGAAGGCCUUCGGGUUGUAAACCGCUUUCAGCAGGGACGAAAAUGACGGUACCUGCAGAAGAAGCCCCGGCCAACUACGUGCCAGCAGCCGCGGUAAUACGUAGGGGGCGAGCGUUGUCCGGAUUUAUUGGGCGUAAAGAGCUCGUAGGCGGUUUGGCAAGUCGGGUGUGAAAACUCCGGGCUCAACUCGGAGACGCCACUCGAUACUGCUAUGACUCGAGUCCGGUAGGGGAGUGCGGAAUUCCUGGUGUAGCGGUGAAAUGCGCAGAUAUCAGGAGGAACACCGGUGGCGAAGGCGGCACUCUGGGCCGGAACUGACGCUGAGGAGCGAAAGCGUGGGGAGCGAACAGGAUUAGAUACCCUGGUAGUCCACGCCGUAAACGUUGGGCACUAGGUGUGGGGCUCGAUCGACGGGCUCCGUGCCGUAGCUAACGCAUUAAGUGCCCCGCCUGGGAAGUACGGCCGCAAGGCUAA